This 232-nucleotide ribosomal RNA is filed under the name uncultured bacterium. RNAcentral describes it as "partial 16S ribosomal RNA". It matches the Rfam family "Bacterial small subunit ribosomal RNA", at positions 99 to 334 of the family's 1533-position model. The record is from RNAcentral.
CGGACGGGUGAGUAAUGUCUGGGAAACUGCCCGAUGGAGGGGGAUAACUACUGGAAACGGUAGCUAAUACCGCAUAACGCCGCAAGACCAAAGAGGGGGACCUUAGGGCCUCUUGCCAUCGGAUGUGCCCAGAUGGGAUUAGCUAGUAGGUGGGGUAACGGCUCACCUAGGCGACGAUCCCUAGCUGGUCUGAGAGGAUGACCAGCCACACUGGAACUGAGACACGGUCCAG